GGACUACCAGGGUUUCUAAUCCCGUUUGCUCCCCUGGCUUUCGUGCCUCAGCGUCAGGAAAUGUCCAGAGACUCGCCUUCGCCACUGGUGUUCCACUUGAUAUCUACGCAUUUCACUGCUACACCAAGUAUUCCAGUCUCCCCUCCAUUCCUCGAGCAGGAUAGUAUCCAACGCAGUUUCCGGGUUGAGCCCGGAGAUUUCACGUCAGACUUACCCUGCCGCCUACGCACCCUUUACGCCCAGUGAAUCCGAACAACGCUUGGGACCUCUGUAUUACCGCGGCUGCUGGCAC
This 292-nucleotide ribosomal RNA is filed under the name uncultured Verrucomicrobiota bacterium. Its description in RNAcentral is "uncultured Verrucomicrobia bacterium partial 16S ribosomal RNA". Lineage: Bacteria; Pseudomonadati; Verrucomicrobiota. The record is from RNAcentral.